Molecule: ribosomal RNA, 497 nt
Filed under: uncultured bacterium
Lineage: Bacteria
Description: partial 16S ribosomal RNA
Rfam family: Bacterial small subunit ribosomal RNA
Source: RNAcentral
GAUGAACGCUGGCGGCGUGCCUAAUACAUGCAAGUCGAGCGAACAGACGAGGAUCUUGCUCCUCUGACGUUAGCGGCGGACGGGUGAGUAACACGUGGAUAACCUACCUAUAAGACUGGGAUAACUUCGGGAAACCGGAGCUAAUACCGGAUAAUAUAUUGAACCGCAUGGUUCAAUAGUUAAAGACGGUUUUGCUGUCACUUAUAGAUGGAUCCGCGCCGCAUUAGCUAGUUGGUAAGGUAACGGCUUACCAAGGCAACGAUGCGUAGCCGACCUGAGAGGGUGAUCGGCCACACUGGAACUGAGACACGGUCCAGACUCCUACGGGAGGCAGCAGUAGGGAAUCUUCCGCAAUGGGCGAAAGCUUGACGGAGCAACGCCGCGUGAGAGAUGAAGGUCUUCGGAUCGUAAAACUCUGUUAUUAGGGAAGAACAGAUGUGGAAGUAACUAUGCACGUCUUGACGGUACCUAAUCAGAAAGCCACGGCUAACUACGUG